GACGAACGCUGGCGGCGUGCCUAAUACAUGCAAGUUGAGCGCUGAAGGUUGGUACUUGUACCGACUGGAUGAGCAGCGAACGGGUGAGUAACGCGUGGGGAAUCUGCCUUUUAUCGGGGGACAACAUUUGGAAACGAAUGCUAAUACCGCAUAAAAACUUUAAACACAAGUUUUAAGUUUGAAAGAUGCAAUUUCAUCACUCAAAGAUGAUCCCGCGUUGUAUUAGCUAGUUGGUGAGGUAAAGGCUCACCAAGGCGAUGAUACAUAGCCGACCUGAGAGGGUGAUCGGCCAAAAUGGGAAUGAGAAAAGGCCCAAACUCCUAAGGGAGGCAGCAGUAGGGAAUCUUCGGAAAAGGACGAAAGUCUGAACGAGAAAAGCCGAGGGAGUGAAGAAGGUUUUAGGAUCGUAAAACUCUGUUGGUAGAGAAGAAAGUUGGUGAGAGUGGAAAGCUCAUCAAGUGACGGUAACUACACAGAAAGGGACGGCUAACUACGUG
RNAcentral lists this ribosomal RNA (497 nucleotides) under uncultured bacterium. RNAcentral's name for it is "partial 16S ribosomal RNA". It matches the Rfam family "Bacterial small subunit ribosomal RNA", at positions 28 to 507 of the family's 1533-position model. The record is from RNAcentral.